CUCAAACUGGGGGUCAGGACCCUUCAGGGGGUUGCGAGAUUAUUACACGGGGAGUCGCGAUCUGUCAGCCUGCACCCCAAACCCCGCUUUGCCUUCAGCAUUUAUAAUGGUGUUAAAUUUGAAAACAAGUGUUUUGAAUUUACAAGGGGGCGGGGGAGGGGGGUGCACUCA
Chelonoidis abingdonii (Abingdon island giant tortoise) is the source of this 171-nucleotide non-coding RNA. NCBI's taxonomy places the organism in Eukaryota, Metazoa, Chordata, Testudines, Testudinidae. The record is from RefSeq and is a predicted model, not a curated record.